UGCAGUCGAGCGCACCCUUCGGGGCGAGCGGCGGACGGGUUAGUAACGCGUGGGAACAUACCCUUUUCUAUGGAAUAGCCUUUGGAAACGAAGAGUAAUACCAUAUACGCCCUUCGGGGGAAAGAUUUAUCGGAGAAGGAUUGGCCCGCGUAAGAUUAGAUAGUUGGUGGGGUAAUGGCCUACCAAGUCUACGAUCUUUAGCUGGUUUUAGAGGAUGAUCAGCAACACUGGGACUGAGACACGGCCCAGACUCCUACGGGAGGCAGCAGUGGGGAAUCUUAGACAAUGGGCGCAAGCCUGAUCUAGCCAUGCCGCGUGUGUGAUGAAGGCCUUAGGGUCGUAAAGCACUUUCGCCAGAGAUGAUAAUGACAGUAUCUGGUAAAGAAACCCCGGCUAACUCCGUGCCAGCAGCCGCGGUAAUACGGAGGGGGUUAGCGUUGUUCGGAAUUACUGGGCGUAAAGCGCGCGUAGGCGGCUUUGCAAGUAGGGGGUGAAAUCCCGGGGCUUAACCCCGGAACUGCCCUCUAAACUGCAGAGCUAGAAUCCUGGAGAGGUGAGUGGAAUUCCUAGUGUAGAGGUGAAAUUCGUAGAUAUUAGGAAGAACACCAGUGGCGAAGGCGACUCACUG
Molecule: ribosomal RNA, 628 nt
Filed under: uncultured bacterium
Lineage: Bacteria
Description: bacterial SSU rRNA
Rfam family: Bacterial small subunit ribosomal RNA
Source: RNAcentral